Monodelphis domestica (gray short-tailed opossum) is the source of this 1614-nucleotide long non-coding RNA. The record is from Ensembl. Lineage: Eukaryota; Metazoa; Chordata; Mammalia; Didelphimorphia; Didelphidae.
GAUUCGGGAGUUUAGGGGGUCAGAUUUUUUUUCUCUCUCCUCCAAGGACAAUUGUUUUGUAGGCUGUGUGUGUUCGUGUGUGAGUGUGUGUGUUCUGGGGGAGGGGUUAUUUUGAUUUUUUUUUUAUUUGCUCUUUCCUUUCUUUUGCCCCCCUCCCCCCUCCCCCAGAAGAAAAUAUUUUAAAAUAAAAGACAACAAACCUAGUAGCUUAGUAACCGUGGAAUCCCCGGAGCUCAGGAUCCUGGCAACUGGGCCGGCAGAAUAACAACUGGAGACAAGCUGUGAGGGGAGCCAGGGGCUGGUAGGGCCCCUUCCUCCCGCUCCUGCCACAGCAAGGAGAUCGGGCAGUCUCGGCCCGGAUAACCCGCCCUCAACUCCCUCACUCACCCACGCUAGUUCAGUAAUGGAACACCACCCCUCUCCCCUUUCUCCGCUCCCCUCCUGGACAGAGGCGUUCACAACUGGGCAGUCUAGGCACGAGACCCCUUCAGGAAGGGGGUGGGGGUGGAAGAGAGGGCUCAGACCCUCCCCCCAUCCUCAUCUACCUUUCCGGACCCUCUCGAGCCAACUGUCCUCCCGAGCCACCUAUACCGCCCCAGGGCACAAUACUCCUCCUGCCCCUGCAGCCCGGGUCCUGGGAAUGAGAUGAGGAAAAUGAGAUCCAGGGAGAAGUGUCUAGCUAGCCCCAAGACACACAAGUCCUGACAGUAGCACAGUCAUGCAGGGUGAAGAGUGAGCCAGCCUGGCUUUCAAACCUGGUUUCCGUGUCUUUUCCCCUAUUACUUUCUGGGGCUCCAGCAUCCUUUCAGUCACUCAGGUUCCCAUCUUCAGGCUCCACACCUCACUCUACCUCAUUCCACUAAAGCCCAAUCAGUUGCCAAAUUUUGAAUUUUGCCAUUUUUACCUUCACAAAACCUCCCCUAUUCUUUCUUUUGCUUCUUUCCACUCAUACAGCCACUACUCUAGCUCAGACAUACCCUCGUUUAUUCUUCCCUGGACUAUUGCAAUAAUCUCCUAAUUGGUCUCUCUGCCUCAAGUUUCUCCAUUCUAUCCAUCUCCCAGCUACCAAAUCAAUUUUCCUAAAGAACAGGUUUGACCAGCCACUCUCUUGCUCAAGAAAUUUCACUGGUUCCCUAUUCCCCUUAAGAUCAAAUAUAAGCUCUCAUUUGCCAUUUAAAAUUCUUCACAACUUGUUCUCUUCCCAUCUUUCUGGUCCUAUACUUCUUUCAUGCACUCUACCAUUCAGCCAUAUUGGACUAUUUACUGCUCCUCAGACACAACACUCCAUCUCUUCUCCACACUGGUCUCCAAACCUGAAGUAUGCUCCCUCCUUUUGGAAUCCCUGAUUUUCUUCAGGGCUCAGGUCAAAGUGUUAUCUUCUAUCUCAAACUUUUCCAGAUCCCUGCUUUGAAUUUUCCCCCUUUCCCAAUUAUCUUGCAUUUACUUUAUGUGAGUAUGUACAAAUCUAUACAUAUAUGAACACAUUGUCAUUUCUAGCCAGAUUGUAAGCUCUUUAAGGGCAGGAGUCCUUGUCACUUUUGGACCUUCAAUACCAACCUGGAUACAUGGUAAAUGAAUAAUAAAAGCUUGCAAAUGAUUGAGAAUAAAGUGUUA